CUGGAACUGAGAUACGGUCCAGACUCCUACGGGAGGCAGCAGUGGGGAAUAUUGGACAAUGGGCGAAAGCCUGAUCCAGCUAUGCCGCGUGAGUGAAAAAGGCCUU
Molecule: ribosomal RNA, 106 nt
Filed under: Candidatus Ehrlichia sp. AG-2017
Lineage: Bacteria; Pseudomonadati; Pseudomonadota; Alphaproteobacteria; Rickettsiales; Anaplasmataceae
Description: partial 16S ribosomal RNA
Rfam family: Bacterial small subunit ribosomal RNA
Source: RNAcentral